Molecule: transfer RNA, 77 nt
Filed under: Bacteroidaceae bacterium
Lineage: Bacteria; Pseudomonadati; Bacteroidota; Bacteroidia; Bacteroidales; Bacteroidaceae
Description: tRNA-His
Rfam family: tRNA
About the family: Transfer RNA (tRNA) molecules are approximately 80 nucleotides in length. Their secondary structure includes four short double-helical elements and three loops (D, anti-codon, and T loops). Further hydrogen bonds mediate the characteristic L-shaped molecular structure. tRNAs have two regions of fundamental functional importance: the anti-codon, which is responsible for specific mRNA codon recognition, and the 3' end, to which the tRNAs corresponding amino acid is attached (by aminoacyl-tRNA synthetases). tRNAs cope with the degeneracy of the genetic code in two manners: having more than one tRNA (with a specific anti-codon) for a particular amino acid; and 'wobble' base-pairing, i.e. permitting non-standard base-pairing at the 3rd anti-codon position.
Source: RNAcentral
GUGGAUGUAGUUCAGUCGGUUAGAGCGUCAGAUUGUGGUUCUGAAUGUCGUGGGUUCGAGUCCCACCCUCCACCCCA